UACGGAGGGGGCUAGCGUUGUUCGGAAUUACUGGGCGUAAAGCGCGCGUAGGCGGACCUGCAAGUCGGGGGUGAAAGCCCGAGGCUCAACCUCGGAACUGCCUUCGAUACUGCGGGUCUCGAGUCCGGGAGAGGUGAGUGGAAUUCCUAGUGUAGAGGUGAAAUUUGUAGAUAUUAGGAAGAACACCAGUGGCGAAGGCGGCUCACUGGCCCGGUACUGACGCUGAGGCGCGAAAGCGUGGGUAGCGAACAGG
This 253-nucleotide ribosomal RNA is filed under the name uncultured bacterium. RNAcentral's name for it is "partial 16S ribosomal RNA". It matches the Rfam family "Bacterial small subunit ribosomal RNA", at positions 524 to 776 of the family's 1533-position model. The record is from RNAcentral.